ACCUACUGUUUAAUUUUGAGGGUUCGUUUUUACGAAUACUCAAAAUUAGCACUUUAAGCAACGGGAUUUAUCCGUUGGCGCUGUGCGUUAGCACUUUGAAAACUGCAUAUAUAUUUAGUGAUAUGACAUCUAAUUUGUAAUAUAUAAAGUUGAUAACUUUUUAAAAUUAUCGAAGUUGAUAGCUUCUAAUCUAUCAAACCUUUUUAACUGGUCAA
RNAcentral lists this unclassified non-coding RNA (215 nucleotides) under Clostridioides difficile. RNAcentral describes it as "16S-23S ribosomal RNA intergenic spacer (ISR)". Lineage: Bacteria; Bacillati; Bacillota; Clostridia; Peptostreptococcales; Peptostreptococcaceae. The record is from RNAcentral.